AAAUAGACGGAUGCUAUGAAGGAUUAUCUCUAUGUGGGCACUUUGAUAAUUUGGAGCAAGUAGUGCAACCGACCUGACUGUGU
This is a regulatory RNA element of Oceanobacillus picturae, 83 nucleotides long. It matches the Rfam family "Cyclic di-GMP-II riboswitch aptamer". The record is from Rfam. Lineage: Bacteria; Bacillati; Bacillota; Bacilli; Caryophanales; Bacillaceae.